RNAcentral lists this ribosomal RNA (314 nucleotides) under Nereididae environmental sample. RNAcentral's name for it is "partial 16S ribosomal RNA". It matches the Rfam family "Bacterial large subunit ribosomal RNA", at positions 1959 to 2521 of the family's 2925-position model. Lineage: Eukaryota; Metazoa; Annelida; Polychaeta; Phyllodocida; Nereididae. The record is from RNAcentral.
GCAUAAUCAUUUGCCUUUUAAUUGAAGGCUAGUAUGAAAGGACACACAAGAAUAAGACUGUCUCAACAAGGCUAACUUUAAACUGAUUUUUAGGUGAAGACGCCUAAAUUAUAAUAAAGGACAAGAAGACCCUAUAGAGCUUUAUUAAUAACAGUUAUUAAACUCUCUUAUUAAUUUGGUUGGGACAACCAAAAAACAUUUAAACCUUUUUAGCACCCAAAUAACCCUUACCCACCAUUGAAUUAGUAUUUCAAGCUACCUUAGGGAUAACAGGCUAAUCUUACUAGAGAGAUCACAUUGACAGUAAGGCUUGG